This 492-nucleotide ribosomal RNA is filed under the name uncultured bacterium. RNAcentral's name for it is "partial 16S ribosomal RNA". It matches the Rfam family "Bacterial small subunit ribosomal RNA", at positions 29 to 507 of the family's 1533-position model. The record is from RNAcentral.
AGUGAACGCUGGCGGUAGGCCUAACACAUGCAAGUCGAACGGCAGCACAGUAAGAGCUUGCUCUUACGGGUGGCGAGUGGCGGACGGGUGAGGAAUACAUCGGAAUCUACUUUUUCGUGGGGGAUAACUUAGGGAAACUUACGCUAAUACCGCAUACGACCUACGGGUGAAAGCAGGGGAUCUUCGGACCUUGCGCGAUUGAAUGAGCCGAUGUCGGAUUAGCUAGUUGGCGGGGUAAAGGCCCACCAAGGCGACGAUCCGUAGCUGGUCUGAGAGGAUGAUCAGCAACACUGGAACUGAGACACGGUCCAGACUCCUACGGGAGGCAGCAGUGGGGAAUAUUGGACAAUGGGCGCAAGCCUGAUCCAGCCAUACCGCGUGGGUGAAGAAGGCCUUCGGGUUGUAAAGCCCUUUUGUUGGGAAAGAAAAGCAGCAGGUUAAUACCCCGCUGUUCUGACGGUACCCAAAGAAUAAGCACCGGCUAACUUCGUG